CUGUGGCGAUGUGCCUCUUAAGACACCUUUGGAUGGGCCGUGAAAGGAACGCGUUCUGAGCAGC
This is a small nucleolar RNA of Carlito syrichta (Philippine tarsier), 64 nucleotides long. Its record names the gene SNORD58. It matches the Rfam family "Small nucleolar RNA SNORD58". Rfam says of the family: snoRNA U58 is found in introns 1, 3 and 6 of the ribosomal protein RPL17 gene in humans. U58 is a member of the C/D class of snoRNA which contain C (UGAUGA) and D (CUGA) box motifs. Most of the members of the box C/D family function in directing site-specific 2'-O-methylation of substrate RNAs. Lineage: Eukaryota; Metazoa; Chordata; Mammalia; Primates; Tarsiidae. The record is from Ensembl.